GGCCUUUUGUUAUUUAUAUAAGGUCUAACCUGCCCAAUGAUGAUAAAUUUAAUGGCCGCGGUAUUUUGACCGUGCAAAGGUAGCAUAAUCAUUAGUUUUUUAAUUGAAAGCUGGAAUGAAAGGUUGAAUGAGAAAAUAACUGUCUUUAUUAUAUUUAAUUAGAAUUUUAUUUUUAAGUUAAAAAGCUUAAAUUUAAUUUAAAGACGAGAAGACCCUUUAGAGUUUUAUAAAGAAUUUGUUUUUGAUUUUUUAGAAUUAAUUAUAAUGAGGCAAUGUUUUAUUUGGUUGGGGCGAUUAAAAAAUUUAAUAAACUUUUUUUCUUAUUUUACAUUAAUUUAUGAAUACUUGAUCCUUAAUUUAAGAUUAUAAGAUUAAAUUACCUAAGGGAUAACAGCGUUAUUUUUUUUGAGAGUUCUUAUCGAAAAAAAAGAUUGCGACCUCGAUGUUGGAUUAAAAUUAAAUUAUGGUGUAGAGGCUAUAACUUUAGGUCUGUUCGACCUUUAAAAUUUUACAUGAUCUGAGUUUAAACCGGUGUAAGCCAGGUUGGUUUCUAUCUUAAAUUUAUUAUAAUAUUUUAGUACGAAAGGACCAAAUAUUAUAUUUAUAAUAUUAAAAUUUGAAUAAAACUAAAUUAUUUUGGCAGAUUAGUGCGAUAGAUUUAGAAUCUUUAUAUGUAAUUAUUUACAAAUAAUACUUGUUAUUAAAAGAUUUAGUUUUAUUAUUCAUUUCUAGUUUAAUUUUAAUUAUUUGUGUUUUAGUUGGUGUUGCUUUUUUAACUUUGUUAGAACGUAAAGUUUU
Molecule: ribosomal RNA, 798 nt
Filed under: Meligethes sp. TJH-2004
Lineage: Eukaryota; Metazoa; Arthropoda; Insecta; Coleoptera; Nitidulidae
Description: partial 16S ribosomal RNA
Rfam family: Bacterial large subunit ribosomal RNA (bases 1-581)
Source: RNAcentral